RNAcentral lists this ribosomal RNA (2885 nucleotides) under Salmonella enterica subsp. enterica serovar Enteritidis. Its description in RNAcentral is "23S ribosomal RNA". It matches the Rfam family "Bacterial large subunit ribosomal RNA". The record is from RNAcentral. Lineage: Bacteria; Pseudomonadati; Pseudomonadota; Gammaproteobacteria; Enterobacterales; Enterobacteriaceae.
GGGUUGUGAGGUUAAGCGACUAAGCGUACACGGUGGAUGCCCUGGCAGUCAGAGGCGAUGAAGGGCGUGCUAAUCUGCGAUAAGCGCCGGUAAGGUGAUAUGAACCGUUAUAACCGGCGAUACCCGAAUGGGGAAACCCAGUGUGAUUCGUCACACUAUCAUUAACUGAAUCCAUAGGUUAAUGAGGCGAACCGGGGGAACUGAAACAUCUAAGUACCCCGAGGAAAAGAAAUCAACCGAGAUUCCCCCAGUAGCGGCGAGCGAACGGGGAGGAGCCCAGAGCCUGAAUCAGCAUGUGUGUUAGUGGAAGCGUCUGGAAAGGCGCGCGAUACAGGGUGACAGCCCCGUACACAAAAGCGCAUGUGCUGUGAGCUCGAUGAGUAGGGCGGGACACGUGGUAUCCUGUCUGAAUAUGGGGGGACCAUCCUCCAAGGCUAAAUACUCCUGACUGACCGAUAGUGAACCAGUACCGUGAGGGAAAGGCGAAAAGAACCCCGGCGAGGGGAGUGAAAAAGAACCUGAAACCGUGUACGUACAAGCAGUGGGAGCNNNNNNNNNNNNNNNNNNNNNNNNNNNNNNNNNNNNNNNNNNNNNNNNNNNNNNNNNNNNNNNNNGGGCGUUAAGUUGCAGGGUAUAGACCCGAAACCCGGUGAUCUAGCCAUGGGCAGGUUGAAGGUUGGGUAACACUAACUGGAGGACCGAACCGACUAAUGUUGAAAAAUUAGCGGAUGACCUGUGGCUGGGGGUGAAAGGCCAAUCAAACCGGGAGAUAGCUGGUUCUCCCCGAAAGCUAUUUAGGUAGCGCCUCGUGAAUUCAUCUCCGGGGGUAGAGCACUGUUUCGGCUAGGGGGCCAUCCCGGCUUACCAACCCGAUGCAAACUGCGAAUACCGGAGAAUGUUAUCACGGGAGACACACGGCGGGUGCUAACGUCCGUCGUGAAGAGGGAAACAACCCAGACCGCCAGCUAAGGUCCCAAAGUCAUGGUUAAGUGGGAAACGAUGUGGGAAGGCCCAGACAGCCAGGAUGUUGGCUUAGAAGCAGCCAUCAUUUAAAGAAAGCGUAAUAGCUCACUGGUCGAGUCGGCCUGCGCGGAAGAUGUAACGGGGCUAAACCAUGCACCGAAGCUGCGGCAGCGACACUGUGUGUUGUUGGGUAGGGGAGCGUUCUGUAAGCCUGCGAAGGUGGCCUGUGAGGGUUGCUGGAGGUAUCAGAAGUGCGAAUGCUGACAUAAGUAACGAUAAAGCGGGUGAAAAGCCCGCUCGCCGGAAGACCAAGGGUUCCUGUCCAACGUUAAUCGGGGCAGGGUGAGUCGACCCCUAAGGCGAGGCCGAAAGGCGUAGUCGAUGGGAAACGGGUUAAUAUUCCCGUACUUGGUGUUACUGCGAAGGGGGGACGGAGAAGGCUAUGUUGGCCGGGCGACGGUUGUCCCGGUUUAAGCGUGUAGGUGUGUGUUCCAGGUAAAUCCGGUUCACUUUAACACUGAGGCGUGACGACGAGGCACUACGGUGCUGAAGCAACAAAUGCCCUGCUUCCAGGAAAAGCCUCUAAGCAUCAGGUAACAUCAAAUCGUACCCCAAACCGACACAGGUGGUCAGGUAGAGAAUACCAAGGCGCUUGAGAGAACUCGGGUGAAGGAACUAGGCAAAAUGGUGCCGUAACUUCGGGAGAAGGCACGCUGACACGUAGGUGAAGUGAUUUACUCAUGGAGCUGAAGUCAGUCGAAGAUACCAGCUGGCUGCAACUGUUUAUUAAAAACACAGCACUGUGCAAACACGAAAGUGGACGUAUACGGUGUGACGCCUGCCCGGUGCCGGAAGGUUAAUUGAUGGGGUCAGCGCAAGCGAAGCUCCUGAUCGAAGCCCCGGUAAACGGCGGCCGUAACUAUAACGGUCCUAAGGUAGCGAAAUUCCUUGUCGGGUAAGUUCCGACCUGCACGAAUGGCGUAAUGAUGGCCAGGCUGUCUCCACCCGAGACUCAGUGAAAUUGAACUCGCUGUGAAGAUGCAGUGUACCCGCGGCAAGACGGAAAGACCCCGUGAACCUUUACUAUAGCUUGACACUGAACAUUGAGCCUUGAUGUGUAGGAUAGGUGGGAGGCUUUGAAGUGUGGACGCCAGUCUGCAUGGAGCCGACCUUGAAAUACCACCCUUUAAUGUUUGAUGUUCUAACGUGGACCCGUUACCCGGGUUGCGGACAGUGUCUGGUGGGUAGUUUGACUGGGGCGGUCUCCUCCUAAAGAGUAACGGAGGAGCACGAAGGUUGGCUAAUCCUGGUCGGACAUCAGGAGGUUAGUGCAAUGGCAUAAGCCAGCUUGACUGCGAGCGUGACGGCGCGAGCAGGUGCGAAAGCAGGUCAUAGUGAUCCGGUGGUUCUGAAUGGAAGGGCCAUCGCUCAACGGAUAAAAGGUACUCCGGGGAUAACAGGCUGAUACCGCCCAAGAGUUCAUAUCGACGGCGGUGUUUGGCACCUCGAUGUCGGCUCAUCACAUCCUGGGGCUGAAGUAGGUCCCAAGGGUAUGGCUGUUCGCCAUUUAAAGUGGUACGCGAGCUGGGUUUAGAACGUCGUGAGACAGUUCGGUCCCUAUCUGCCGUGGGCGCUGGAGAACUGAGGGGGGCUGCUCCUAGUACGAGAGGACCGGAGUGGACGCAUCACUGGUGUUCGGGUUGUCAUGCCAAUGGCACUGCCCGGUAGCUAAAUGCGGAAGAGAUAAGUGCUGAAAGCAUCUAAGCACGAAACUUGCCCCGAGAUGAGUUCUCCCUGAGACUUAGAGUCUCCUGAAGGAACGUUGAAGACGACGACGUUGAUAGGCCGGGUGUGUAAGCGCAGCGAUGCGUUGAGCUAACCGGUACUAAUGAACCGUGAGGCUUAACCUUACAACGCCGAAG